GGGGCUGUAGUCUAACUUGGAAGGACGCCAGCCUCGGGCGCUGGUAAUCUGGGUUCAAAUCCCAGCAGCCCCA
The sequence is a transfer RNA, 73 nucleotides long. It matches the Rfam family "tRNA". From Rfam's summary of the family: Transfer RNA (tRNA) molecules are approximately 80 nucleotides in length. Their secondary structure includes four short double-helical elements and three loops (D, anti-codon, and T loops). Further hydrogen bonds mediate the characteristic L-shaped molecular structure. tRNAs have two regions of fundamental functional importance: the anti-codon, which is responsible for specific mRNA codon recognition, and the 3' end, to which the tRNAs corresponding amino acid is attached (by aminoacyl-tRNA synthetases). tRNAs cope with the degeneracy of the genetic code in two manners: having more than one tRNA (with a specific anti-codon) for a particular amino acid; and 'wobble' base-pairing, i.e. permitting non-standard base-pairing at the 3rd anti-codon position.